GGUCAAGUGAAGAAGCGCAUACGGUGGAUGCCUUGGCAGUCAGAGGCGAUGAAAGACGUGGUAGCCUGCGAUAAGCUUUGGGGAGUCGGCAAACAGACUGUGAUCCAGAGAUCUCUGAAUGGGGGAACCCACUCAGCACAAGCUGAGUAUCUUGUACUGAAUACAUAGGUGCAAGAGGCGAACCAGGGGAACUGAAACAUCUAAGUACCCUGAGGAAAAGAAAUCAACCGAGAUUCCCUUAGUAGUGGCGAGCGAACGGGGACCAGCCCUUAAGUUGGUUUGAGAUUAGUGGAACGCUCUGGAAAGUGCGGCCAUAGUGGGUGAUAGCCCCGUACACGAAAAUCUCUUGUCAAUGAAAUCGAGUAGGACGGAGCACGAGAAACUUUGUCUGAACAUGGGGGGACCAUCCUCCAAGGCUAAAUACUACUGACUGACCGAUAGUGAACCAGUACCGUGAGGGAAAGGCGAAAAGAACCCCGGAGAGGGGAGUGAAAUAGAACCUGAAACCGUAUGCGUACAAGCAGUGGGAGCCUACUUUGUUAGGUGACUGCGUACCUUUUGUAUAAUGGGUCAGCGACUUAUAUUCAGUGGCGAGCUUAACCGAAUAGGGGAGGCGUAGCGAAAGCGAGUCUUAAUAGGGCGUUUAGUCGCUGGGUAUAGACCCGAAACCGGGCGAUCUAUCCAUGGGCAGGUUGAAGGUUAGGUAACACUGACUGGAGGACCGAACCGACUACCGUUGAAAAGUUAGCGGAUGACCUGUGGAUCGGAGUGAAAGGCUAAUCAAGCUCGGAGAUAGCUGGUUCUCCUCGAAAGCUAUUUAGGUAGCGCCUCAUGUAUCACUGUAGGGGGUAGAGCACUGUUUCGGCUAGGGGGUCAUCCCGACUUACCAAACCGAUGCAAACUCCGAAUACCUACAAGUGCCGAGCAUGGGAGACACACGGCGGGUGCUAACGUCCGUCGUGAAAAGGGAAACAACCCAGACCGUCAGCUAAGGUCCCAAAGUCAUGGUUAAGUGGGAAACGAUGUGGGAAGGCUUAGACAGCUAGGAGGUUGGCUUAGAAGCAGCCAUCCUUUAAAGAAAGCGUAAUAGCUCACUAGUCGAGUCGGCCUGCGCGGAAGAUGUAACGGGGCUCAAACCAUGCACCGAAGCUACGGGUAUCACCUUUGGUGAUGCGGUAGAGGAGCGUUCUGUAAGCCUGUGAAGGUGAGUUGAGAAGCUUGCUGGAGGUAUCAGAAGUGCGAAUGCUGACAUGAGUAACGACAAUGCGAGUGAAAAACUCGCACGCCGAAAGACCAAGGUUUCCUGCGCAACGUUAAUCGACGCAGGGUUAGUCGGUCCCUAAGGCGAGGCUGAAAAGCGUAGUCGAUGGAAAACAGGUUAAUAUUCCUGUACUUCCAGUUAUUGCGAUGGAGGGACGGAGAAGGCUAGGCCAGCUUGGCGUUGGUUGUCCAAGUUUAAGGUGGUAGGCUGAGAUCUUAGGCAAAUCCGGGAUCUCAAGGCCGAGAGCUGAUGACGAGUUGCCCUUAGGCGACGAAGUGGUUGAUGCCAUGCUUCCAAGAAAAGCUCCUAAGCUUCAGAUAACUGGGAACCGUACCCCAAACCGACACAGGUGGUUAGGUAGAGAAUACCAAGGCGCUUGAGAGAACUCGGGUGAAGGAACUAGGCAAAAUGGCACCGUAACUUCGGGAGAAGGUGCGCCGGUGAGGGUGAAGGACUUGCUCCGUAAGCCCAUGCCGGUCGAAGAUACCAGGCCGCUGCGACUGUUUAUUAAAAACACAGCACUCUGCAAACACGAAAGUGGACGUAUAGGGUGUGACGCCUGCCCGGUGCCGGAAGGUUAAUUGAUGGGGUUAGCGCAAGCGAAGCUCUUGAUCGAAGCCCCGGUAAACGGCGGCCGUAACUAUAACGGUCCUAAGGUAGCGAAAUUCCUUGUCGGGUAAGUUCCGACCUGCACGAAU
Molecule: ribosomal RNA, 1959 nt
Filed under: Escherichia coli
Lineage: Bacteria; Pseudomonadati; Pseudomonadota; Gammaproteobacteria; Enterobacterales; Enterobacteriaceae
Description: partial 23S ribosomal RNA
Rfam family: Bacterial large subunit ribosomal RNA
Source: RNAcentral